Long non-coding RNA from Marmota monax (woodchuck), 615 nucleotides. RefSeq lists it as uncharacterized. The transcript is spliced from 2 exons. Lineage: Eukaryota; Metazoa; Chordata; Mammalia; Rodentia; Sciuridae. The record is from RefSeq and is a predicted model, not a curated record.
UGGGAAUAUGUCAUUGGACCAGAAAAUGUUCUGUCCUCAUGGAGCUUGCUGGCUGAGGGCUGGGAGCAUCAAGCUUUCAGGUCCCUGUUUCAUAAAGUGUCCCUGGGAUCGGCGUCAUCUGUAUGGCCUGGGAGCUGGAGAGAAAUACAGCAGCAUCUCAGCCACCUUGACCUGCUGGAUCACAGUCUGCAUUGCUCCUGGAUUGUCCCUCAUGUUGAUGCAUCGGUCUGGUCCCCAGUCUUUGACUACACAGCACUGUGAUGAGCAUUCCCGUGGAUAAAUCACCGCACCUGUCUGCAUAUUUCCUGAGGACAGAAUGUGCUAAAUGUGAAAUCGCUGAGAAAAAAAUCACAUGACUGUGUUUAAGGCUUUUGAUAAAUUUUGCUAAAUGGUCUUCCAGAAAAAUUAAACCCAUGCAAAAUGCUACCAGCCGCCCACGAGAUAUCUUUUCUCUACAAUCUCAUUAAUGUCCCAUGUGACUGUUUCUUUUUUUUAAUCAUGUCAAUAUUUUGUUUGUUCAUUUGGAUUUCUUGGAUGACUACUGAAAUGGGGACCAUCCCUCCCUCAAAUAUCUUAGGGCUUUAAGUUUUUAAAAAUUAAAAAUCCCUCAACGAC